GGAGAGUUUUGGAGAUUUGUUCGGAAACGCCUUGAAAACCGGCGUAAUCUUAACAGGUUACCGUGGGUUCAAAUCCCACCCUCUCCGCCA
RNAcentral lists this transfer RNA (90 nucleotides) under Pseudomonadota bacterium. Its description in RNAcentral is "tRNA-Phe". The record is from RNAcentral. Lineage: Bacteria; Pseudomonadati; Pseudomonadota.